Molecule: unclassified non-coding RNA, 148 nt
Organism: Pongo abelii (Sumatran orangutan)
Lineage: Eukaryota; Metazoa; Chordata; Mammalia; Primates; Hominidae
Rfam family: Metazoan signal recognition particle RNA
About the family: The signal recognition particle (SRP) is a universally conserved ribonucleoprotein.
Source: Ensembl
GCUGGGCAUGGUGGCUCAUGCCUGUAAUCUUAGUGCUUUGGGAGGCUGAGGCAGUAGGAUCACCUGAGCCCAGGAGUUCAAGAUUGCAGUGAGCUACAAUAGUGCCACUGCAUUCUAGCCUGGGUGACAGAGAGAGACCAUGCCUCUA